This is a long non-coding RNA of Drosophila persimilis, 1438 nucleotides long. RefSeq lists it as uncharacterized. The transcript has 3 exons. The record is from RefSeq and is a predicted model, not a curated record. Lineage: Eukaryota; Metazoa; Arthropoda; Insecta; Diptera; Drosophilidae.
AGAGGCUCCAUCCAGUGUCUCCCAGAAAAUGCAAUAUAGUCCAAGAAAGCCUUUAAACAGAGCACCUCCCGGACCUAGAGUAAAGAUCGGAAUGUUGUAACUCUAACAGAAAAGCUUUAUCAGAAAGUGGCCAAAAACCUGCCUGACAAGAGAAGCCAAAUUCAGAAGGGAAGCUAAAUCAUGAGUAGCCUAAUUGUAGAGCAGAACAGUGUCCCAGCAAUCAAGGCGACCAUGGCGAUGAAGGCGAUUUCUCGGUAGCUGUCCAAUCGAUUCAGCCCAAGUACCCUGGCGCUUCGGAAAAGGCCACGUUUAACACGCUAACAUCUUUAAAGGAUCUCCAUGGGUCGCUGAAGGGCUGCCGACGAUCCAGAUGCCAAAAUGCCAAAAGCAUGCCCUGGCUUGGAUGUCUUUGCGUGAGAAUUAGAGUCCACCUGGCGGCAUUUUGGCCGAUGAUAUGGGCUUAAGCAAGACCCUGAAAAUAAUUUCAGGAGAGCAAAGUGAAGGAGAGAACGAUACAAACGGAAAAGCACUGGUGGAUGGAAUUGGAAGCUCAUCUUGGUGGCACCUUAGUCGUGUGCCAGGCUAGCUUGCUGCGCCAGUGAGAGGCAAAUGGUCAUCAUGGCAACAAGCACUAGACAAAGGCCAAAGAAGUCAGGUAAUCGACGUUAAAGACUACAAGAAACAAGAGCAACAGGACCAUCCGCAGCUGAAAAUAAAAUUAAACUGUUUGCCCUGCAAGGAGUUGGGUAUAAUUGAGAUUUCCCUUAUCUUUUUGGUUCACAAUGAUAAAAUUAGCUUAAAGUAUUUGGUUUUAAGCAUUAUAUGUAUAUCUGCUCCUUUUCCCACAGCCAUAAUAUUUACGCGCCAAAUUUUAUUUUUAAUCUAGGUUUCGCUGUUUGCUGGCGAUAGUUUACACAACAGGGAAGAAAUAUUCGGAAAGUCGAUUUUGAUUAUGAGUUGGGCGGUAUUUUAGAUAGAUAUGUCCGCGGUCCCACUGAUUUUCUUGCCAGUUUGGACACCAUGUCUAGUUUAUACUUAUACUUUUCAUAGUAUUUUCUAAAAUUUUCCAGUAUAUUUGAAGACGCGUUUUGGCCACAUUCUCUUUUUCAAUGCACCAAUGUAGAAACACCAACCAUACAGUAUAUACUGUAUGGGUAGUGGUAGAAAUCAUGUAGAAAUGCUGAGGGUAUAUAAUGGUAUAUUUUGCCAGUUUCAUCAAUCUAUUAAAUUUAAAUUAAGCCAAUCAAGUGGAAAAAAGAACUCUAUAUAGCUUGUAAUAUUCGACGGACCCGGUUCACAACAAAUGAGUCCGAUUCCAUGUUCACAUAACCUGGGGGGAAAUGGAUGUUAUAGAACUAUAGAAUUAUUCAAGGGAAUGUAAAAAUUGAACAAUAUGAACGAUUCUCUUUCGCUUUUUCGUGUGACCUAUAUCGCUUAA